Molecule: RNA transcript, 795 nt
Organism: Papaver somniferum (opium poppy)
Lineage: Eukaryota; Viridiplantae; Streptophyta; Magnoliopsida; Ranunculales; Papaveraceae
Gene name: protein NUCLEAR FUSION DEFECTIVE 6, chloroplastic/mitochondrial-like
Exons: 5
Source: RefSeq, a predicted model, not a curated record
GGUGUAUUUAGAAAACAAAAAAGGUCUUCUUUUAUUCUCUCACUGGGGGUUAGGGGUUUUGCGCAUCAACAGCGAGAUCAUAAAGGGUUUAUGAAAAAGUGAACCAUGUCUGCUAAUUAUGCAAGAAGAGCUUUUCAAAGCUUUGCAAAGUCAUCUUCAUUUGCUUCUGGUGCUGCUAAGUUUGGUGGAUUUACUUCUACUGCUAAACCAACUUCUACAUCUCAUUUUCUGAAAUCUCCACUUUUUUCAAGGCUUCCUGUGUUGGGUUGCGCACAGUGGUUGAUGCCAUUGCACAGUGUUACUGCAUCUGCGUUGCUUACUUCAAAGCUCUCUUUGAAGGCAGGAAAUUGGGCUUGGCUUUUGGAAGGGAGUUCCCUCGAUAUUACGUAGGUGGAUGACUAUUCUUGAUAAGCUUCCUUUCCAAGGUGACAGAUAUGGUUUCAGGAUUUGCGACCCCACUAUAACAUGGCCCGUGAAUCUAGUAGGCUUAAGAAGUAGAAUCAGAUGGAGAAGGGAAUCAUUUCCGUUCCACCGUCAUUUAUUUGUAACUACAAGCAAAGAGAGCUAAACUGUGACAUACAAUUGAUGUACUUUUCACUCUUUAGUUACAGUUCCAAAUUUGGUUUUUGGAUAUACAUUUUGUAUCAAGUCCCAUCUUCAUCAUCAGGAGAGGCCCCUUAAAUUGGCUGAAUGCUUCUAUUUUGGUGCUUAGUUAAGCAAAGAUUUUGUUCGAUUUUGUAUCUAAAUGGCUAGUAUAAUCAUGUCGUUUCUCUUAAAUGAACUCGAUGGUUGUCA